RNAcentral lists this ribosomal RNA (593 nucleotides) under Actinoplanes sp. MS-G2. RNAcentral describes it as "bacterial SSU rRNA". It matches the Rfam family "Bacterial small subunit ribosomal RNA", at positions 272 to 875 of the family's 1533-position model. Lineage: Bacteria; Bacillati; Actinomycetota; Actinomycetes; Micromonosporales; Micromonosporaceae. The record is from RNAcentral.
AGCGACGACGGGUAGCCGGCCUGAGAGGGCGACCGGCCACACUGGGACUGAGACACGGCCCAGACUCCUACGGGAGGCAGCAGUGGGGAAUAUUGCACAAUGGGCGGAAGCCUGAUGCAGCGACGCCGCGUGAGGGAUGACGGCCUUCGGGUUGUAAACCUCUUUCAGCAGGGACGAAGCGCAAGUGACGGUACCUGCAGAAGAAGCGCCGGCCAACUACGUGCCAGCAGCCGCGGUAAGACGUAGGGCGCGAGCGUUGUCCGGAUUUAUUGGGCGUAAAGAGCUCGUAGGCGGCUUGUCGCGUCGAAUGUGAAANCCCGAAGCUCAACUUCGNGCUUGCAUUCGAUACGGGCAGGCUAGAGUUCGGUAGGGGAGACUGGAAUUCCUGGUGUAGCGGUGAAAUGCGCAGAUAUCAGGAGGAACACCGGUGGCGAAGGCGGGUCUCUGGGCCGAUACUGACGCUGAGGAGCGAAAGCGUGGGGAGCGAACAGGAUUAGAUACCCUGGUAGUCCACGCUGUAAACGUUGGGCGCUAGGUGUGGGGAGCCUCUCCGGUUCUCUGCGCCGCAGCUAACGCAUUAAGCGCCCCGCCUG